RNAcentral lists this long non-coding RNA (818 nucleotides) under Homo sapiens (human). Its description in RNAcentral is "HSALNT0159991". The record is from RNAcentral. Lineage: Eukaryota; Metazoa; Chordata; Mammalia; Primates; Hominidae.
GAGUAGCUGGGACCACAGUCAGUAUUACAAAGGGAUUGAACAAUUUGGAAGAGUUGGGACUGCUAAAAUAUUUCAGGGAGCAUGCAAUGCAUUCUUGCAAUAAGAGGCAAAACAUCACACAAUGUCAAGAGAAUGCCCCUCUCUAUUUUGUGAAAGGGCUUGGCUCAAGCCAUGUUUGUAUCACAUGACUUCUCCCCUGGCCAGGUCACAUGGUGCAACUGGGCCAAUCCAAUGCUUUCUUCUGGGAAUCUGGAAAAAGGCUUGAGAAAGUUAAUCUCUGCCUGAUACAUGUGGCGAGUGUGAGGGGCCUCAGCCUGCCUAGUGGACUUGAGAAGGAGCAAAACAUGGUCCCAGAAGACAAAAAUGAAGGUAUUGUGAAAGAAGCCAAGAUGAGAGAAGAACCAACUACAUAAUUUGUUACAUCCAAUGCAAAAUGAAAGGCAGAGCCCCUUGUUCAAAAAGCAGGACAAAAGUACUUUUAAGGAACUAAAAUAUAAAGCUCUUUCCUUUCUUCCAUGGUCUUUCAGUUUGUUCUGGUGUGUUUUAUUUGCUAUUUGAUGCUAUUCCAGGUAAAGAAAAAUUGAAAUUCGAUUUUCAGCAAGAAACGGGGUCUUGCUGUAUCACCCAGGAUGAUCUCGAACUCCUGUUCUCAAGCGAUCCUUCUGCCUCGGCCUCGGGAAGUGCUGGGAUUACAGGCGUGAGCCACUGCGCCUGGCCUAAAAAAAAUUUUUUUAAUUAAAAUUAUUAGUAUACAUUUUACCAUUUGUCUUGUGCAAAGUCAAUCUUUCUUCUUUCUUCCAGGGGGGACGCUUGAAUUG